CACCUGUACAUUGACUCCAAUGGUGCACUCAAGCAAUCGAUCACAAAAUAGCAUUAAACUUUCGUUUGAAAAGACAUGGAACUCACCGUGUGGUCAGUGGUGAACAGCGAUAAAUUGACCCAAAAAUCGCCACGAAAUAUGCCUUCAAACCGUUGUUUAGCAGUUGAUGGAACUACUUUUUCCCAGACGUUGAAUAAUAGCAGCUAGACAUCCAGCCAGUAGGUGGCGAUAAUGAGGUAUUUUUGUGAGGACUAGAGAGAAGAAGAAUAUUGCUGUCUUUGAGGAAGCUAGUAGCUACUGCUUCACACACUCGUUUUUGCUGGCAAACACCAUCUAAUCUUUUCAUUUCAACCUCUUUUUUGUUAGCAAGGACAAUACAGACAAAAGGACAGAAGCAGCAUUUAUGUAUUUUGUUAUGUAAUUCGGUAGAAUGGGAGUUAUUGAUCACAGAGCGAAUGGAGAACCUGGACGUAAUUCUGUUGAUGCCUGCCUGUGUGACUGGCGGGGAUGUAGGCAAAGAACGUGGAUCUAUGUAAGGAGGGCUUUGAUCAAGAGACCAUGUGCCAAAAAUCAACUGGAAAAGACGUCCGAGACCGGAGGCGAGGAAUUGGAUGGUCAGAAACCAGGCUGUUGGUGCUGCUGAGGCUGUUGGUUUUCCUGCUUCACUGGUGGAGGAAGUGCAGAGCGGUGGACUUCACUACUUGGAGAACAUGAAUGGAAAGAACACGGGGAUCAUCUAAGCCUGGAUGACUAACUGAAGAGGAAUUGGAUUCAACCCCAGUCCCAGCGUCUACAGGCAAUCAUGGAGGAUAAAUGACUUCUGAAAGUUCUGCAGCAGUUGACUCAGUUCAAACAUACCGUUUCAAUACUGGCAUGUCUUUACAGGGGGCUCUGGAGGAAAAGAAGAGAGGAGAAACACGCAUCUGAUGACCAACCACAUUUUACAGCUCCAGAACAUUUCCUCUAAGCCAAACCUCCUCAAAAGGUCUCUGGAAAGAAGCACCGAAGUAGAUUCCCUAAAGACUGAAAGACCACAUCUAAAUAACAGUCAAUGGAGCACAUGUCUCUGUGU
Molecule: long non-coding RNA, 1072 nt
Organism: Engraulis encrasicolus (European anchovy)
Lineage: Eukaryota; Metazoa; Chordata; Actinopteri; Clupeiformes; Engraulidae
Exons: 4
Source: RefSeq, a predicted model, not a curated record